GCCCCGCUCAAGGAGAGCCCCUCAAGCGGGUGUCGCAGGUUCGAAUCCUGCCGGGGGCA
This 59-nucleotide transfer RNA is filed under the name Streptomyces cathayae. Its description in RNAcentral is "Streptomyces sp. HUAS 5 tRNA-Leu". Lineage: Bacteria; Bacillati; Actinomycetota; Actinomycetes; Kitasatosporales; Streptomycetaceae. The record is from RNAcentral.